Molecule: RNA transcript, 4162 nt
Organism: Gossypium raimondii (Peruvian cotton)
Lineage: Eukaryota; Viridiplantae; Streptophyta; Magnoliopsida; Malvales; Malvaceae
Exons: 16
Source: RefSeq, a predicted model, not a curated record
GAAAACGAAAAUAAAAAGGUAAAACUAUUUUCUUUCGCUCCAAGAAUAUUAAAAGAAAAACAAUCACAUUGAAAAAACCCUAAUCUUAACCCUAGAUUUUCUGCAAUUAAUUCCCAAUGGCUAGCGACACCACAGAUUCUCAUCGAAGGAAGCACCAUCGUUCUCCAUCCGACGAAGAGGAAACCGAUAAGUCCUCCAAACGCCACAAGCAUCGCCACCACAAACAUCGUCACCACCGCCAUCGCAGCAAAAAGCACGAGGACGAAGCCAGAGAUGGCGGUGAAGAUCCGCUUCCUCCUCCUUCGAUUCCUCGACCUGAUGAUGACGUCGAGGAAGGAGAGAUUCUUGAUGAGGAACCGACCGCCGAAAUCAAGGCUGAUCAAUCUCGCGAUGGCCGGGAUGUUUCGGAUCCGGGAGCUGGCGAAAAUAGUAAUUCUGUGGAUGAGCAAGUAAGAGGGAUUGGUGACAAGAGUGAAGAUAGGAAGCAUAAUCAUUCUAGGCUCUCUGGAAAUUUAAGUGUUGAGUCUCAAGGAGAAUUGGUCCCCAGAGUUGUCUCUGAUGAUCAUAUCAAUAGGUCACCUUCAAGAAGUGGUAAGAAAAAGAAUUACCAUGAGGAUGUCAAAGAGGUUGAUGACAAGAAAUUAAGCGACACAAGAAACUCGUUGUCCUCUGAAAGUUCUGGGGAAAAAUACAAAACAUCAGCUAGCUCACCACUUGAUUCAAGAUGUUAUGAUUACUCUAGGAGUAGAUCUGAGUCACUUUAUAUUGUGAGGGAAAGAUCACGUUCCCAAAGCAUAGUAGAUGAGGAGGCUCUUUUGAAAAGAAGUCGCCGUCACGAACGCGACCCUAGUCAGGAUGGGCAACAUGGUAGUAGAAACUUAGUUAGGAAUGAUGAAAGAGAACGAAGUGCCAGUUAUGGCAGAUAUAUUGGUGAAGAAAGGCAUCGCAACAUGGAGACACGUGGUAGAGAGAGGAGCAGGGAAAGGGAGAUGGAUUGGGAAUUAAGAAGGGAGAAGGAGCGCGACAGAAGCAGAGAAAGGGAGAUGGGAGUUGAAUGGAGCAGGGACAGGGAGAUUUAUGGUGAGAGGAGAAGGGAGAGGGAGCGAGCAAGGAGUAGAGAUAGAGACAUGAGUGGUGAAAGGAGAAGGGAGAAGGAGCGAGAGAGGAGUAGGGAGAGAGAAAUGGAGAGGGAAAGGAGAAGGGAGAAGGAGCGAGGGAAGAGCCGGGACAGGGAUCUAGAUGGUGAAAGGAGAAGGGAGAAGGUGCAUGAUAGGAUCUGGGAUACAGAAGCAGAUAGAGAUAGGAAGAGGGAGAAGGAAAGAGAUUGGAGCAGGGAUCAUAGCAGUGCUUAUGAUAGAGAUAGAGAUAGGAGAAGGGAAAAAACUGAAGAAUGGAACCAAGAGCGGGAGAGGGAAAGGAGAAGGGACAGGAGUAGGGAUAGAGAUAGGAAUAUUGAAAUUGAAAAUGAUGGCUAUGGUGAUCGAGAUAGAUAUAAGAAACAUUCUCACUCGAAACGGGAUGAAGCAGAAAUUUAUCGAGACGGAACAAGGAAGAAUGAAACAGUAAAGGUUCAUGGUUCUAACAUCGAUUCAUUGGAAAGACAUGGUGAUAAACUAAAAAGAGAUGAAGAGGAGCAAGACGAUUUUGAAGAAAGGAUUACGUUAAAACUUGCUGGAGAGGAGGAGGAAGAGGCAGAACUCAAUAGGAUUAAAGAGGAAAGUAGGAAGCGAAGGCAAGCCAUCUUAGAGAAAUAUAAGAGUCAGCCGUUGCAGCAACAGACACAGUCACUUGCAGCGGAUGUAAAUAAAGAUAAUAGGCCUGUAGAGAAUAAUGGGCAAAUAAUAGCUGCUACUCGUGCUGGUCCAGAUGUCGUUGGUGGGCAUGAAGACAUCUAUUUUGCCGAUCCAUUAUUGUCUGUUCAGAAGUCACCUUCAGAAAAUGGGCAUGCUGCUGCGGAGAGGACAUCUGGUGCUGCUGGGCUUGGUGAGGGUACCCCGAAGAGUGAGAGGUCAGAUGAUAUUUUCUGUGAUGAUAUAUUUGGAGAAACACCUACUGGAGUUCGUAAAUUGGGUAAAGGUGAUGGUUUGCCGGUUAUAAGGAGUGGUCUUCAUGACAAUUGGGAUGAUGCUGAAGGAUAUUAUAGCUAUCGAUUUGGUGAAAUACUUGAUGGCCGAUAUGAAGUAACUGCUGCUCAUGGAAAAGGAGUUUUUUCGACGGUUGUACGUGCGAAGGAUCUUAAGGCUGGUGCCACUGUUCCCGAAGAAGUAGCUAUAAAGAUCAUUCGUAAUAAUGAAACGAUGCACAAGGCUGGUCAGCUGGAGGUUCAAAUAUUGAAAAAAUUAGCAGGUGCAGAUCCAGAUGAUAAGCGCCAUUGUGUUCGUUUUUUGUCAAGUUUCAAGUACAGGAAUCAUCUUUGUUUAGUUUUUGAGUCUCUUCAUAUGAAUCUGCGUGAAGUUCUCAAGAAGUUUGGUCGCAAUAUUGGUCUUAAACUAACUGCUGUCAGAGCUUAUGCUAAGCAACUUUUUAUUGCGCUUAAGCAUCUAAAAAACUGUGGUGUUCUUCAUUGUGAUAUAAAGCCUGAUAACAUGCUGGUAAAUGAGGCAAAAAAUGUGCUGAAGCUUUGUGAUUUUGGUAAUGCCAUGUUUGCUGGUAAAAAUGAAAUUACACCAUACCUUGUUAGCCGCUUUUAUCGUGCACCAGAAAUAAUUCUUGGUUUGCCUUAUGAUCAUCCAAUGGAUAUCUGGUCUGUUGGUUGCUGUUUGUAUGAGCUAUAUACUGGAAAAGUUCUUUUCCCUGGUCCAACAAACAAUGACAUGCUGCGUCUUCAUAUGGAACUCAAAGGUCCUUUUCCAAAGAAGAUGUUGCGUAAGGGAGCAUUUACGGAACAACACUUUGAUCAAGAUCUGAAUUUUCAUGCUACAGAAGAGGAUCCUGUUACUAAAAAGAGUAUAAAGAGGAUGAUUCUUAACAUAAAGCCAAAAGAUAUCAGUUCAAUUAUUGUUGGCUCUCCAGGUGAGGAUCCAAAGAUGGUAGCCAACUUCAAAGACCUUCUAGAAAAAAUUUUUGUGCUUGAUCCAGAGAAGAGAAUGACAGUAACUCAGGCAUUGGCUCAUCCAUUCAUCACGGGCAAGUGAAACAUGUUGCUGAUUUUAUGUCUCCAGAAAUGUGUUGCGCUAGAUAUUUGUACAUUAUGACCUAACUCAUAUUUAGAUAUCUAAUCAUUGGGAAUUCUGUCUUUUAUCUUCUCUGUGCUGGACAAAGAGCUUUGGGCACUGUUUUUGGCAUGGUUGAAGUCAAAAGGUUGAUGUUUGGUCAGGAGUACUCUUUACUGGCGAUUCUUUCAGUGGAAUGUACUUUUCUAUUGAUAGCUGCUACUGCUUUGAGGCAACCCUCCAGUGCUUAAAAGCUUAAAAGGCACCCAGGAGAAGGCACUUGCACUGGUCGUAAAGGAGUCAGCUUGAAGUCAAAGUCCAUCUCAGGUGUAAAACCUGUGCUCCCCAAUUCUUGAUUGAUGCACCUAUAAAUCCUCUUGUUCAUAGAUUUUACGAAGGAAUUAAAUGCAUAUGGAAAUAAAGGCUUAGGUUGGAACUCUGUACAAUUUUUGGAUGAGUAACACAUCAACUUAUAAUGCUCGAGUGGUACUUAUGUGCAUAUUGAUCAAUAUCAGUGCAAUGUGUAAGCUAGUCUAAAACUUGUGGUGAGCUUGAAAGUGUGUGGUCUUUUUAAGUUCUGCUGGAAACGCUACAGUCUAACCUAAAUUUGUUGUAUGGGUCUUCGUUUUAAUCUAAUCGUGAUAGAUUUUCUUGCCUCCUGUUGUUUCUCUCUCAAUAAAACUUGAAAUUUGGAUUUAGAAACACUAAAUUUAGGUAGGUAAUGUAGUAGUACCCCGUGAGUAGAGAAGGCUGUGGUAGUGUGACUUGAAUGGCCUCUUUUGAUGGAAGCAAGGCUAGAGUCAGUGAUUCCAAAUAAAGCAACGUUUAGUUUGUGGCUUCUGUGAUAUUGCGUGAGGAGGCUGCUUUUGGGGGUUUGGCGUAUUCAGGAGGAACAACGGUUACACAGAUGAAUGGAAUUAGAAAAUAGUGGUUUUCCCCUGCACCUAUAUAAUUUUGUAUGUUUGUGUGCUGUUAAUUAUGAAUACGAAAGAAGACUCAUUUUUCUUGUA